Molecule: ribosomal RNA, 1558 nt
Filed under: Enterococcus faecalis
Lineage: Bacteria; Bacillati; Bacillota; Bacilli; Lactobacillales; Enterococcaceae
Description: bacterial SSU rRNA
Rfam family: Bacterial small subunit ribosomal RNA
Source: RNAcentral
UAUUAUGAGAGUUUGAUCCUGGCUCAGGACGAACGCUGGCGGCGUGCCUAAUACAUGCAAGUCGAACGCUUCUUUCCUCCCGAGUGCUUGCACUCAAUUGGAAAGAGGAGUGGCGGACGGGUGAGUAACACGUGGGUAACCUACCCAUCAGAGGGGGAUAACACUUGGAAACAGGUGCUAAUACCGCAUAACAGUUUAUGCCGCAUGGCAAAGAGUGAAAGGCGCUUUCGGGUGUCGCUGAUGGAUGGACCCGCGGUGCAUUAGCUAGUUGGUGAGGUAACGGCUCACCAAGGCCACGAUGCAUAGCCGACCUGAGAGGGUGAUCGGCCACACUGGACUGAGACACGGCCCAGACUCCUACGGGAGGCAGCAGUAGGGAAUCUUCGGCAAUGGACGAAAGUCUGACCGAGCAACGCCGCGUGAGUGAAGAAGGUUUUCGGAUCGUAAAACUCUGUUGUUAGAGAAGAACAAGGACGUUAGUAACUGAACGUCCCUGACGGUAUCUAACCAGAAAGCCACGGCUAACUACGUGCCAGCAGCCGCGGUAAUACGUAGGUGGCAAGCGUUGUCCGGAUUUAUUGGGCGUAAAGCGAGCGCAGGCGGUUUCUUAAGUCUGAUGUGAAAGCCCCCGGCUCAACCGGGGAGGGUCAUUGGAAACUGGGAGACUUGAGUGCAGAAGAGGAGAGUGGAAUUCCAUGUGUAGCGGUGAAAUGCGUAGAUAUAUGGAGGAACACCAGUGGCGAAGGCGGCUCUCUGGUCUGUAACUGACGCUGAGGCUCGAAAGCGUGGGGAGCAAACAGGAUUAGAUACCCUGGUAGUCCACGCCGUAAACGAUGAGUGCUAAGUGUUGGAGGGUUUCCGCCCUUCAGUGCUGCAGCAAACGCAUUAAGCACUCCGCCUGGGGAGUACGACCGCAAGGUUGAAACUCAAAGGAAUUGACGGGGGCCCGCACAAGCGGUGGAGCAUGUGGUUUAAUUCGAAGCAACGCGAAGAACCUUACCAGGUCUUGACAUCCUUUGACCACUCUAGAGAUAGAGCUUUCCCUUCGGGGACAAAGUGACAGGUGGUGCAUGGUUGUCGUCAGCUCGUGUCGUGAGAUGUUGGGUUAAGUCCCGCAACGAGCGCAACCCUUAUUGUUAGUUGCCAUCAUUUAGUUGGGCACUCUAGCGAGACUGCCGGUGACAAACCGGAGGAAGGUGGGGAUGACGUCAAAUCAUCAUGCCCCUUAUGACCUGGGCUACACACGUGCUACAAUGGGAAGUACAACGAGUCGCUAGACCGCGAGGUCAUGCAAAUCUCUUAAAGCUUCUCUCAGUUCGGAUUGCAGGCUGCAACUCGCCUGCAUGAAGCCGGAAUCGCUAGUAAUCGCGGAUCAGCACGCCGCGGUGAAUACGUUCCCGGGCCUUGUACACACCGCCCGUCACACCACGAGAGUUUGUAACACCCGAAGUCGGUGAGGUAACCUUUUUGGAGCCAGCCGCCUAAGGUGGGAUAGAUGAUUGGGGUGAAGUCGUAACAAGGUAGCCGUAUCGGAAGGUGCGGCUGGAUCACCUCCUUU